CCUACGGGUGGCAGCAGUGAGGAAUAUUGGUCAAUGGACGAGAGUCUGAACCAGCCAAGUAGCGUGAAGGAUGACUGCCCUUUGGGUUGUAAACUUCUUUUAUAUGGGAAUAAAAUGUUCCACGUGUGGGAUUUUGUAUGUACCAUAUGAAUAAGGAUCGGCUAACUCCGUGCCAGCAGCCGCGGUAAUACGGAGGAUCCGAGCGUUAUCCGAAUUUAUUGGGUUUAAAGGGAGCGUAGGUGGAUUGUUAAGUCAGUUGUGAAAGUUUGCGGCUCAACCGUAAAAUUGCAGUUGAAAAUGGCAGUCUUGAGUACAGUAGAGGUGGGCGGAAUUCGUGGUGUAGCGGUGAAAUGCUUAGAUAUCACGAAGAACUCCGAUUGCGAAGGCAGUUCACUGGACUGCAACUGACACUGAGGCUCGAAAGUGUGGGUAUCAAACAGGAUUAGAUAUCCCUGUAGUC
RNAcentral lists this ribosomal RNA (460 nucleotides) under uncultured bacterium. RNAcentral's name for it is "partial 16S ribosomal RNA". It matches the Rfam family "Bacterial small subunit ribosomal RNA", at positions 338 to 795 of the family's 1533-position model. The record is from RNAcentral.